GACGAACGCUGGCGGCGUGCUUAACACAUGCAAGUGGAGCGACGAACCAGACUUCGGUCUGGGGCAGAGCCGCGAACGGGUGAGUAACACGUGGGUAACGUGCCUCGAUGACCGGGACAACCCGAGGAAACUCGGGCUAAUACCGGAUGUGCUCAGGUGACAUCAGUCAUGUGAGUAAAGGUAGCUUCGGCCUCCGCAUCGAGAUCGGCCCGCGGCGCAUUAGCUUGUUGGUGGGGUAACGGCCUACCAAGGCGACGAUGCGUAGCUGGUCUGAGAGGACGAUCAGCCACACUGGGACUGAGACACGGCCCAGACUCCUACGGGAGGCAGCAGUGGGGAAUCUUGCGCAAUGCACGAAAGUGUGACGCAGCAACGCCGCGUGGGGGAAGAAGGCCU
RNAcentral lists this ribosomal RNA (396 nucleotides) under uncultured bacterium. RNAcentral describes it as "bacterial SSU rRNA". It matches the Rfam family "Bacterial small subunit ribosomal RNA", at positions 28 to 417 of the family's 1533-position model. The record is from RNAcentral.